GCGUUGUGGCUCAGUGGUAGAGCACUUACCUAGCAUGCAUGAGGCACUGGGUUCAAUACUCAGUACCACACA
RNAcentral lists this transfer RNA (72 nucleotides) under Marmota monax (woodchuck). Its description in RNAcentral is "tRNA.Ala". Lineage: Eukaryota; Metazoa; Chordata; Mammalia; Rodentia; Sciuridae. The record is from RNAcentral.